Molecule: ribosomal RNA, 484 nt
Filed under: uncultured bacterium
Lineage: Bacteria
Description: partial 16S ribosomal RNA
Rfam family: Bacterial small subunit ribosomal RNA
Source: RNAcentral
AUUGAACGCUGGCGGCAGGCCUAACACAUGCAAGUCGAGCGGAUGAAGGGAGCUUGCUCCUGGAUUCAGCGGCGGACGGGUGAGUAAUGCCUAGGAAUCUGCCUGGUAGUGGGGGAUAACGUCCGGAAACGGGCGCUAAUACCGCAUACGUCCUGAGGGAGAAAGUGGGGGAUCUUCGGACCUCACGCUAUCAGAUGAGCCUAGGUCGGAUUAGCUAGUUGGUGGGGUAAAGGCCUACCAAGGCGACGAUCCGUAACUGGUCUGAGAGGAUGAUCAGUCACACUGGAACUGAGACACGGGCCAGACUCCUACGGGAGGCAGCAGUGGGGAAUAUUGGACAAUGGGCGAAAGCCUGAUCCAGCCAUGCCGCGUGUGUGAAGAAGGUCUUCGGAUUGUAAAGCACUUUAAGUUGGGAGGAAGGGCAGUAAGUUAAUACCUUGCUGUUUUGACGGUACCAACAGAAUAAGCACCGGCUAACUUCGUG